AAAACUCUCAAUGAAAAUUUGAGUACCUAUAUCUAAACCAUUUUACUUAUAAACACUUAGAAAAUCAUUUAAUUAAUUCUAAUACUCCAAGAAAAAUAUAAAAUGAUGAAUCGAAUCUAAACUCACACGACAAAUGGUGAGAUCUCCAUCAUCGUCGUACUCUUUAGCGCCGCCUCUCUUUCCCUUUCUCUGUCCCUCUUCGUCAUCUUCUUCUUCAGGCUCUUCUUCCUCCGCUUGUCGCGCUGCUUCGGCUUUGGAUUGCAGGUCUGCGAGGUAGGAUUCUGGAAGUUAAUCUAGGGCUUUGGAUUGCAGGUCUGCGCUGCUUCGGCUUUGGAUUUGUCGCGCUGCUUCGGCUUUGGAUUGCAGGUCUGCUUGCGCUCCGGUGGGGAGAGGUCGAGCCCUAGAUUAACUUCCAGAAAGGAAAAAAGAGUUCGAGCACUAGCUUAAGUUUUUAUUUAAUUGCCUUUUUUU
Molecule: long non-coding RNA, 471 nt
Filed under: Panax ginseng (ginseng)
Lineage: Eukaryota; Viridiplantae; Streptophyta; Magnoliopsida; Apiales; Araliaceae
Description: long non-coding RNA (PGIN_LNC017285)
Source: RNAcentral